UGGCUUUUAAGUGCGGCUCCACAGACGUAAACAAAAGCAAAAAGACUACAAAAGCUCGGAAACCUUCGUCUUUAAGUGCCGUCUUCGUUGCGAAGGUUCGCAAUCAUCAGUGCUAUUCGUAUUCGUGACACAGCCGACCGAAAUAGUUGGUUUGUGGUGCACCCGAACCAGUCACGAGCUCCCGUGACUCGGUGCAACUUCUUCGACAAUGUGGUGUGGCUCGUGGUGUUUCUCGCAAGUCUGCCUGAUGUGACUCAAGACAGACGGGAACGCUAUCGCGGCGAGCAAGAUAAUCUUCUUUAUCACCAAAAGAACGAAGAAAACCAUGCCCAGUACCAUUUUGAUCUUCAACAACUUCGCCAUUAUUAAUAUGGAUAUUAUGAACACUUUUUUCCAUUUCUUUCCCCUCGCCUCGCCGAUAUCUGAAACAAGCGACAGUUCCAUAUUAUCUAUUGGUUUGUACGAUUGCGGCUAUAAAUAAAAAAUAACAAAAUUUUAACUUAACUCGGUUGGUUCACGGGCAGCGUUCGUUUCCACCAUCGCACGCAAAAAUCACAAAUUUUAGGUAAAUUAACUUUAGUGUACUGUUCCUAGCCUUAAUUUUGUUUUUAAUAGCGUAUUCCAUCAUCCAGAUUUAAGUUAAAAACAUGUUAUUGAAUGAUUUAUAGCAAUAAUCGGCAGUGAAAACUUGUUACACGAUAUAAUAAAACAAGUUUCAUAUACGCCACUUUAGUCACUACUUUUAUAUGGCACGAGGGAAAGCAGCGGAGCGAGUGUUUAAUAAACGGGUGACUAAUAGUUGUCAGUACAUUUUUUAAAACAGCACGAAUAUAUAACAAUGGCUAAAAUGUGUGUGUGUAAGUCAUACUUUCCGCACGCUUAAUCCGGGCAUAAUUGUGUAAUGUUUCACUGAAAUCACUGUAAUAAACUCUUUAGUCUAAACUCAAUUUAAAAUAGAAUAAGUAAAUAUAUUAUCUUAUAACAAUAGAAUUGUUGGCAAACAGUUACAAAUGGAAAUAUAUUAAUAAACAUUAUUUCAUUAAUAUCACUUAUUUAAUAAUUUCUUCUAUUUUUAUUCAGUUGAACUUCUAGUAAAACUAAUAUUAAAAUGUUUCUUUAAACACCAUCAUUCAUUUCAUUACUAUAAACGUCAGCAUUUUACAAACCCAUUAACUAAUAACAUAUCCAUUAACUGUGCUCUGAGGAACAAGUGCCGAAACCUCGACACAGAGGUAGUAUUCGUCACUUCAAUUUUAAUCUCUCGUAUAAUACAAUAAAUAACCCAUAUGAGACAAUUCAAUUCAAUUUAAGUCAAUAUUAUAAUUAUAUUAUCAAUUCACAAAUUAACUACACUAAAGUCGAUAUAUACAGUGUCUCUCAUGAUCAUGGUAUUAUAAACAUAUGGUUUAUAGAUAUUUUUCGUCCAACCUGUCCCCUUACCCCAACACUGGUUAAUGUAAAAACGUAGAAUAAAAAAAAUUCUCAAAUAAGAAUUCCAACUAUAUAAAAAAAAAGUAUAUUCCGAGAAAUAACAUGUAAUUUUUGAGCCAGUUUCCCACCUAACUAUAUAACGAAAAAACUGUUUCAGAAAUCGGUCUAGGAUACAUAGAACAAUAACAAAUAACUUUAGUUUUGGUUAACUAACUUUAAAUAACUUUAGUUUUAUUAAUAAAAGAGGACCCAAACAAUCAUUUUUUAUUAUUGUUUCGAAAAAGGUUUAAGACACCAAAAUUAAAUUUAGCUCACUGCUAACGCAAUUUUAAUAUUUUGUAGGGGAGCGAAGCUAAAAGGGACACCCAUUUACUUUUCCCCAACUUUGUUUAAUGUAAAAGAAGCAAAAAACUCCUGUUUAGAAGUGAGAACGAACUAUCUCAGGGAACAGCGAAUGUGUCAAGAACAACGAUGAAACAAUAAUACUGUAAACUAUUUUGUACUUAAAUGUUGUCAGCAAUAACUUUUAUAGGCCCAAUCGAAGGUAUGUCUAUAUUUUUCUAUUUUCUAAAAACUAUUUCAAAAAUACCUCUCUAAAACUUAUAUGAUUUGUUUUAUGAAUUCAGGGCGCCGGAAUCGAUCCGCAGAAGCGCCGAUAGUCCCCUAAAAUUUAUUUUCUAAACGAAUUCGCGUCCCAUGUUUCCCAUUUUGUUGGUUUUUUUCAUAAUACAAACGCAUAUACUGCGCGUCACGCGACGAACCCACGUUCGAAUUGUUUCAGCUCUUUCAAUAUUCACGUAAUAAAUUUUCAGAUAAAAAGUUUUUCUGCGAACGGCACAUAAAUGGAAUGAUAACCAAAUCACUGGCUCCCGGCAAAAACUCAAUUUAUCCCCAGUUUCCGAGCAAACUGAUUUCAUUAUGGAGUUGUACUUGAACUGCAUGUGCGUAAUAUUAAAAAUAGAAUGAAAUAUAUUACUCAGAAAAUAUCCACUCCAUUAUAUUAGUACAAAAUUUACCCAAUGCUCAUUGUAUGACGUUAAUGAUUAAUAUAAAGCACAAAACAGUUAUUUCUGUAUCUAGUGGGCCAAAUGCUACUUGUAAUACAAAAAAGAGUGGAACUUACUUAAAAUUCUUCAAAAUAAUUGUUGCAACUGUGGAAAUAAAAUGAAAAUUUUUAAUUAAUUAUUGUUGAACAUUCACCAAUAACAAAGGGUAAAACACAAAAAUCCCACAAGUAAAGUAGGAAACUGUUUGUAGAACAAGAAUGUUGCUGUAGCAAUUCCAGGUUCAGUAAUCAUUUCCAUUUUUAACUUUGAAAUUUUUCGUUGUUGAGGAAGUUUUGAAAAUAUUGCUGUUAAAAAAAAAAUUUGGAAUUAAAGGGUUAAGAGUGUUUCCUUCACGAUGUAAUUACCAUAAUGUAUAAUACCGCAAAAUGCGAAAAUUAUCACUUAUUUUUUAUUUUAUUUUAUUUUCUUAGCCCCAGUUGCACCACCUGAUGACAGAAUAACCCAAAAAUUAGUUAUUAAAUUUAUUUAUCACAAAAUUUCGUAGACUUCAGAAAAUAGGUAGCCCUACGCUAGUGUUUAAUCGAUAUAGUGCAAAUAAUUAAAUAUAAACAUAAUAAUAAUAAAUAAUAAUAAAAAAAUAGAGCAAUAGGAAAUUAUUAUUAGGACCAUAAAAAUAUAUUAAAAUGUAAUAAACAAACGAAAAUUCAAAGUGUGGUAUGUGUAGCUAAUUUUUGGUCUGCAAAACAAAAAAUAGCGAAAGAGCACGGUGUUUCAAAUUAUGUUUGAGAAAAGAUUAACUAAGCAUUUCAUGUUAAGGGAAUAUUAUUCAAAUCGUGUCCAUAUUACACAAAAUUACAAAUGAUUUUAUCUUCUAAAUUAUUGUCUACGCUAUGGAAAGGAGAACAUGUUUGACUAUGUGGAAGUGAUAAGAAUGGUUGAAUAGUGCAAGAUCAUAUUCGCUUCCUAUAAAAAUAUCUAGUGUAUAAUAAAUAUAUAACAAUCGCACGAAAGACAAAAUCGUCAAUGAAAAAAUGCAUUAAUGAAUUAAUCUUCUUAUGUGUCCGCUAAGUUACUGAAUCAAUACGCCGAGGUUACUCAUCCAGAGCGUUUUUAGACUAAAUUAAAAAAAAAACUGUUUUUGGAAAUUACAUAUAAUAAGUUAUUUUUUUGUACUUUUGUUAAAUAUAGAUUAGCUUUGUCAAUUGUACUGCUUUAAUUGUUGUUAUAUUAAUUUAAUUUUUGUUUCUGCCUAUUUCAA
Long non-coding RNA from Cylas formicarius (sweet potato weevil), 3696 nucleotides. RefSeq lists it as uncharacterized. The transcript has 4 exons. Lineage: Eukaryota; Metazoa; Arthropoda; Insecta; Coleoptera; Brentidae. The record is from RefSeq and is a predicted model, not a curated record.